GUCCUAUGCUACUUGUUGAAGGCAUUGUAGAAGAACCUUUACCAUAGAAACUAGGUGGUGGAGGAGGCGGAGGGGGUGGUGGUACUAUACUACUUGUUGAACGCACUGCAGAAGAAUCUUUACCAGAGAAAGCAGGCGGAGGGGGCGGAGGUGGAGGAGGUGGUGGUCCUCUACUAGUUUCCGAAGGCAUUGGAGAAAAAUCUUUACUAGAGAAACAUGGUGGUGGGGGAGGUGGAGGGGGUGGUGAAAUAAAAUUGUUAUUAGAUGAAGAAGGUAGAGGUGGAGGUGGAGGGGGUGGUGAAAGAAAACUGUUAUUAGUUGAAGAAGGUAGAGGUGGAGGUGGAGGAGAAGGAGGUGGUGGUGGUGCAGACAUUGGCAAAGGAAUUACUCCAGAUGCUGAAGCUGGAGAUGAAUGUGGAGGCAGGGGAGGUGUUGGGGCAAUAGACUGUGGAGAAGAAGGUGAUGGAG
This 468-nucleotide long non-coding RNA is filed under the name Citrus maxima (pomelo). RNAcentral's name for it is "long non-coding RNA (CMAX_LNC001444)". Lineage: Eukaryota; Viridiplantae; Streptophyta; Magnoliopsida; Sapindales; Rutaceae. The record is from RNAcentral.